Molecule: non-coding RNA, 155 nt
Filed under: Lutispora thermophila
Lineage: Bacteria; Bacillati; Bacillota; Clostridia; Lutisporales; Lutisporaceae
Also listed under: 1 other name
Description: GlcN6P sequence
Rfam family: glmS glucosamine-6-phosphate activated ribozyme aptamer
About the family: This entry contains a glucosamine-6-phosphate activated ribozyme that is found in the mRNA for GlmS. GlmS is an enzyme that uses fructose-6-phosphate and glutamine to generate glucosamine-6-phosphate.
Source: RNAcentral
UUGAUUAAGCAAGCGCCAGGACUUGCAAUAAGCAAGUUGACGAGGACAGGGUUAAUCGAAGUUAUCGGCGGAUGCCCUGCGGCACAGCUCCGUGUCGAUAGAGGUUUUACAAAACCGCAAGCGAUUGUAGGUACAAAGUAAACUGAAAGGAGCAU